UACGGGGGGGGCAAGCGUUGUUCGGAAUUACUGGGCGUAAAGGGCGCGUAGGCGGCCCGCUAAGUCGAACGUGAAAUCCCCGGGCUCAACCCGGGAACUGCGUCCGAUACUGGCAGGCUUGAAUCCGGGAAAGGGAUGUGGAAUUCCGGGUGUAGUGGUGAAAUGCGUAGAGAUCCGGAGGAACCCCAGAGGCGAAGGCGGCGUCCUGGCUCGCAUCUGACGCUCAGACACGACAGCAUGGGGAGCGAACGGG
Molecule: ribosomal RNA, 253 nt
Filed under: uncultured bacterium
Lineage: Bacteria
Description: partial 16S ribosomal RNA
Rfam family: Bacterial small subunit ribosomal RNA
Source: RNAcentral